RNAcentral lists this ribosomal RNA (541 nucleotides) under uncultured bacterium. RNAcentral describes it as "bacterial SSU rRNA". It matches the Rfam family "Bacterial small subunit ribosomal RNA", at positions 841 to 1381 of the family's 1533-position model. The record is from RNAcentral.
CGAACCCGGCGCUAACGCAAUAAGUACCCCGCCUGGGAAGUACGGUCGCAAGACUAAAACUCAAAGGAAUUGACGGGGGCCCGCACAAGCGGUGGAUCAUGUGGUUUAAUUCGAAGCAACGCGAAGAACCUUACCUGGAUUUGACAUCCCUUGACAACCUUAGAGAUAGGGCUUCUGUAGCAAUACAGCAAGGAGACAGGUGCUGCAUGGCUGUCGUCAGCUCGUGUGGUGACAUGUUGGGUUAAGUCCCGCAACGAGCGCAACCCUUGUCUCUAGUUGCCAGCAUUAAGUUGGGCACUCUAAAGAGACUGCCGUGGUUAACACGGAGGAAGGUGGGGAUGACGUCAAGUCCUCAUGGCCUUUAUAUCCAGGGCGACACACGUGAUACAAUGGACGGUACAAAGGGACGCCAAGAGGCAACUCGGAGCUAAUCUCAAAAAGCCGUUCUCAGUUCGGAUUGGAGUCUGCAACUCGACUCCAUGAAGUUGGAAUCGCUAGUAAUCGCGGAUCAGCACGCCGCAGUGAAUACGUUCCCGGGCCU